UAAUUGAAGAGUUUGAUCAUGGCUCAGAUUGAACGCUGGCGGCAGGCCUAACACAUGCAAGUCGAACGGUAACAGGGAGCAGCUUGCUGCUCUGCUGACGAGUGGCGGACGGGUGAGUAAUGUCGUGUAUAGAGCGUGCUGUAGUUGGAUAACCUGUGGUAUGGG
This 165-nucleotide ribosomal RNA is filed under the name Cronobacter sakazakii. Its description in RNAcentral is "partial 16S ribosomal RNA". It matches the Rfam family "Bacterial small subunit ribosomal RNA", at positions 1 to 162 of the family's 1533-position model. The record is from RNAcentral. Lineage: Bacteria; Pseudomonadati; Pseudomonadota; Gammaproteobacteria; Enterobacterales; Enterobacteriaceae.